Molecule: ribosomal RNA, 246 nt
Filed under: uncultured bacterium
Lineage: Bacteria
Description: partial small subunit ribosomal RNA
Rfam family: Bacterial small subunit ribosomal RNA
Source: RNAcentral
AGAAUCAACGCUGGCGGCGUGCCUAACACAUGCAAGUCGAACGAGAAAGUGGAGCAAUCCAUGAGUAAAGUGGCGCACGGGUGAGUAACACGUGACUAACCUACCCUUGAGUGGGGGAUAACCUAGAGAAAUCUGGGCUAAUACCGCAUAAUACCUUCGGGUCAAAGGAGCAAUUCGCUUAAGGAGGGGGUCGCGGCCGAUUAGUUAGUUGGCGGGGUAAUGGCCCACCAAGGCGAAGAUCGGUAG